UACGGAAGGCAGCAGUGGGGAAUAUUGCACAAUGGGCGCAAGCCUGAUGCAGCCAUGCCGCGUGUAUGAAGAAGGCCUUCGGGUUGUAAAGUACUUUCAGCGGGGAGGAAGGCGGUGGAGUUAAUAGCUUCACCGAUUGACGUUACCCGCAGAAGAAGCACCGGCUAACUCCGUGCCAGCAGCCGCGGUAAUACGGAGGGUGCAAGCGUUAAUCGGAAUUACUGGGCGUAAAAGCGCACGCAGGCGGUCUGUCAAGUCGGAUGUGAAAUCCCCGGGCUUAACCUGGGAACUGCAUUCGAAACUGGCAGGCUAGAGUCUUGUAGAGGGGGUAGAAUUCCAGGUGUAGCGGUGAAAUGCGUAGAGAUCUGGAGGAAUACCGGUGGCGAAGGCGGCCCCUGGGACAAGACUGACGCUCAGGGU
Molecule: ribosomal RNA, 420 nt
Filed under: uncultured bacterium
Lineage: Bacteria
Description: bacterial SSU rRNA
Rfam family: Bacterial small subunit ribosomal RNA
Source: RNAcentral